CCUGCCCCGGGCACCGCGCCCGGCCCAGCCCAGGCCAGCCCGGGCUGCCGCUGCCGCUGCUCUCGGCUUUCUGCAGCCGCUGCCGCUGCCGCUCGGCUCUCUGCAGCCGCUGCCGGCACCGAGGCGCUCACGGCCCCGGCUCGGCCCUCGCGGGGCUCCGGGCCCGGCUCACGGCCGAGCCCCGGCGCUGACACCGCGCCCGAACGGCUCCGGCCGCGGAAUCCUCCGCACCUUCUUCCAGGAGUGUCUUUCGAAGCAGUGACGUUUUCCAAGGUAGCCUUGACUGGCUCUGAAUCAGGUUUUGGGGGUACUUUUCCUUUUGCUAUGUCACGACAAAUAAGGACAAAUUGCAACAUAACCUGGCACAUCCAGGAAGCAUCACGAAUAUGUGGUUGUCAUUUAGGAGAGUGUCUCUGGAUUGUAACUGAAGGCUCCAGAGCUGUUUCAGGAACACAGGUUAUGCACAUUUACCUGCAGAGACAUUUAACCUUGAUUUUGAAGGACUGCUGUUGCAGUUCUGGAAAACUGUCCUGAGCAAAACAAUAAAAACAUUUCUGAAACA
Taeniopygia guttata (zebra finch) is the source of this 562-nucleotide long non-coding RNA. RefSeq lists it as uncharacterized. Lineage: Eukaryota; Metazoa; Chordata; Aves; Passeriformes; Estrildidae. The record is from RefSeq and is a predicted model, not a curated record.